Panthera uncia (snow leopard) is the source of this 856-nucleotide long non-coding RNA. RefSeq lists it as uncharacterized. The record is from RefSeq and is a predicted model, not a curated record. NCBI's taxonomy places the organism in Eukaryota, Metazoa, Chordata, Mammalia, Carnivora, Felidae. The transcript has 3 exons.
GCCACCAAGAAGUCCAUAGAGAGCCUCAGCAACAUAAUGGUUUUCAUCUUAGGACUAGAACAUUCUAAACAGUUACAUAGCAAAAAGGCACACACUGUCAGUUGACUGGCCCAAAUUCCAUCUGAGGUGCCCUAAUCCAUGUCUACUUUCCUGUGAUUGAUUUUCAUGAGACCAUGUGACCCAAUAAUGGCCAAUGAAAUAUAAGCACAUGGUAAUGGGAGAGUACCACCCAACUAACCAGAACACCACCCAGUUAGCCAGAACGCAGGGAAGAUGGUACUCUCAUAUAUUAUGGUGUCCUGAUGUGCCAUAAUUAAGGAUUUGCUGGAGGCGAGGUGGAAUGGAGCUGAGGGAAGGAGGCCAGAGGUUCAGAAGUGCACGAUGGGGAGGCGCAUGGUGGUAGCCCUGAAGGAGACUUGACUGCGGAAAAGAGACAACAUCCGAGGGAGUGAUGAUCAAGCUAGAAGGACCAAAAACCGUAUUGACUGCAACAAAACAAAGUUAUAAAAUGUCAUUUUCCUCUAAUUGCCAGACGGCUCCUCACACAAAUCAAAACAUGCUGUUUACCAUGUAAUCACAUAAUAUCACCAGCUGUUUGCAUUCAUAGUAAGUCCUCUUACAUGCCUUUCUCAGACUUAAACAGGAAAAUUCCCCUUUGCUGAACAUUAUUGCCAAAAUAGAACACAUGAAGAAAAAAAAGGGCAUUGAAACCUAGCAAUACAUAUUCACUUCUGGCCCUAGGACUGUAUUUUAAAAUAUAUGAAAGCUUUGGAAAUCACUUUUAUUUUCACUUUGAAUCAGCUCUAAUCUUUCAACACAGCUUUUACUUCUGAAAAUGGACUCCCAUUUUCCCCCA